GACGAACGCUGGCGGCGUGCUUAAAACAUGCAAGUCGAACGGACUUCUCAUGAAGCUUGCGAUUGAGAAGUUAGUGGCGGACGGGUGAGUAACGCGUGGGCAACCUGCCCCUGAGCCCGGGAUAACAGUUCGAAAGGACUGCUAAGACCGGAUAUACUUGCGGUGAAGCAUUUCACUGCAAGGAAAGGGAACGCUCAGGGAUGGGCCCGCGUCCCAUUAGCUAGUUGGUGAGGUAACGGGCCCACCAAGGCGACGAUGGGUAGCCGGCCUGAGAGGGUGAACGGGCCACACCUGGGACUGAGACACGGCCCAGACUCCUACGGGAGGCAGCAGUUGGGAAUCUUCGGCAAUGGGCGCAAGCCUGACCGAGCAACGCCGCGUGAGUGAUGAAGGUUUUCGGAUUGUAAAGCUCUGUCUUCCGGGACGAUAAUGACGGUACCGGAGGAGGAAGCCACGGCUAACUACGUGCCAGCAGCCGCGGUAAAGUCACGUCG
RNAcentral lists this ribosomal RNA (494 nucleotides) under uncultured bacterium. RNAcentral's name for it is "bacterial SSU rRNA". It matches the Rfam family "Bacterial small subunit ribosomal RNA", at positions 28 to 530 of the family's 1533-position model. The record is from RNAcentral.